Molecule: ribosomal RNA, 1185 nt
Filed under: uncultured bacterium BD_contig01168
Lineage: Bacteria
Description: bacterial SSU rRNA
Rfam family: Bacterial small subunit ribosomal RNA
Source: RNAcentral
AGAGUUUGAUCCUGGCUCAGGAUGAACGCUAGCUACAGGCUUAACACAUGCAAGUCGAGCGGUAUGUGCUUUAGUGCAUACAGCGGCAGACGGGUGAGUAACACGUAUCUAACCUUCCCCUUACUUGGGCAUAGCCUCUGGAAACGGAGAUUAAUUUCCGAUGUGGUGUACAUUUCGCAUGUUUUGCGCACCAAAGAUUUAUCGGUAAGGGAUGGGGAUGCGCUCCAUUAGGUUGUAGGUAGGGUAAUGGCCUACCUAGCCUAUGAUGGAUAGGGGUUCUGAGAGGAAGGUCCCCCACAUUGGAACUGCGACACGGUCCAAACUCCUACGGGAGGCAGCAGUGAGGAAUAUUGGUCAAUGGCCGGAAGGCUGAACCAGCCAAGUAGCGUGCAGGAUGACUGCCUUAUGGGUUGUAAACUGCUUUUUUACGGGAAUAAUUAUGAUCACGUGUGAUUAUUUGCAUGUACCGUAAGAAUAAGGAUCGGCUAACUCCGUGCCAGCAGCCGCGGUAAUACGGAGGAUCCUAGUGUUAUCCGGAUUUAUUGGGUUUAAAGGGAGCGUAGGCGGGAGGUCAAGUCAGCUGUGAAAUGUAUCUGCUUAACGGGUACACUGCAGUUGAAACUGGUUUUCUUGAGUGCGUAAGAGGCAGGCGGAAUUCGUUGUGUAGCGGUGAAAUGCUUAGAUAUGACGAGGAACUCCUAUUGCGAAGGCAGCUUGCUGGGUCGUUACUGACGCUGAUGCUCGAAGGUGCGGGGAUCAAACAGGAUUAGAUACCCUGGUAGUCCGCACAGUAAACUAUGGAUACUCUCUGCCGGCGAUACAUUGUCGGUGGCCAAGCGAAAGCGUUAAGUAUCCCACCUGGGGAGUACGUUCGCAAGAAUGAAACUCAAAGGAAUUGACGGGGGCCCGCACAAGCGGAGGAACAUGUGGUUUAAUUCGAUGAUACGCGAGGAACCUUACCCGGGUUUGAAUUGCUGAUGGCGGUAUUUGGAGACAGAUACUUCCCUUCGGGGCGUCAGUGAAGGUGCUGCAUGGUUGUCGUCAGCUCGUGCCGUGAGGUGUCGGCUUAAGUGCCAUAACGAGCGCAACCCUUGCCGUUAGUUGCCAUCGGGUCAUGCCGGGCACUCUAUUGGGACUGCCAUCGUAAGAUGUGAGGAAGGUGGGGAUGACGUCAAAUCAGCACGG